AAAAUUUCUGUCAGAUUUUGUACAGGACGUCACAUACAAUAGUGUAUGAAGGUGUGUUUGAGGUUUAUUGAGUCGAUAAACAGAAAGGUAAUGUUCUGGACUGGAUCACAGUCAAUAGUGUGGAUGACCACCAUGUGCUCCAAUUAAUGCAACUAAUCUUCUGUGCAUGGAACCCACUAAAUGGCAAAUUUUCUGCUGAGGACUGGCCUGCCACACCUCUUUCAGGACACUUUA
Molecule: long non-coding RNA, 234 nt
Organism: Thalassophryne amazonica
Lineage: Eukaryota; Metazoa; Chordata; Actinopteri; Batrachoidiformes; Batrachoididae
Exons: 3
Source: RefSeq, a predicted model, not a curated record